This 2083-nucleotide long non-coding RNA is filed under the name Hordeum vulgare. RNAcentral's name for it is "long non-coding RNA (HVUL_LNC005843)". The record is from RNAcentral. Lineage: Eukaryota; Viridiplantae; Streptophyta; Magnoliopsida; Poales; Poaceae.
GACGUUGUUCGGCUUGCAGACUCCACGAGGGUGUGCCCAUCCCCUGCAGUAUGAUAAGGUCAACGCAUUAGAUAUUUGAAGAAACUUGAAAGCAAAAGCUAAAAAAAGAGUAAAUGUACUUACCUAUCCCCUUUAGGCUUAAUCACCGGCCUGUGCUCGCGGGUAGCCGGCACGACCGGGAGACGUGUACUACCACGCUUGUACACGGUGGCCCUGUCCACCUGCACGUCGCCCUCACUAUCCGUAAACUCAUCCCCGCCAUCAACAGAACAGCCACCCGGACCCUCGGUCCAAUCCGGCACCUCGGUCCAAUCCGGCCAGGCACCCCAUCCAGACCUCUCCACGUCGGCCGAAGCGUGUGUGGCAGGAGUCUCCUGGGAUGUAGCCUCAGGAACCGGAAUCUCGUGGGCCGAAGGCACCUCGACCCGAGGCUGAUCCUGGACCGGAGUCUCAUGGGCCGAAUGCCCGUCCACCCGAGGCUCGUGGACCGGAGUCCCCGUAGCCUCCUCCUCAAACGGGUCCACCAUAGUAGUCUUGUGGUCAGGUGAAAGAGCUGGUGGUGGUGGCGAGGACAGCGCAACAGUCCGCCUACCUCUUCCGCGGCCACCACCUCUCCCUAUAACCUUCCCCUUCUUCCCUACCCAACCAGCACCUCUCCCAGUGGGCAAUGCCGCCGACGAAGAAGCACCCGCGGGUGGUGUAAAAAUCUAAAAAUAUAUUUUUGUAAAAUAUAACAUAUGUUUCCCUAGUCAAAUUGACGACCUAAAAACACGUGCCCGCCUUAUAAACCCAACUAGAGGGCUCCCUUAAGAUUGAGUCACCCUCCCUCCAGCACUGCUAAAAUAUUUUUUACUACUAGUACCAAAGUCCAAUCUAGUCAUUUUUAGCUCAUCCUAAUACAUAUUUGCACUUCUAAGGCAGCUCACCCCCCUCCAUUAUAUAUAUAUAUAUAUACAUACAUACAUACAUGCUACCCUUCUGUAUUUGGCUGUCACCAACUGCUUUUCUCAUGAUACCUCAAAUUACUUGCUUUCUCGAACUCAAUCCACUUUCUCGAGAACAUGAUAUUUUCACUGCAAUAUAUUUCAAGAUAUUUUAUUUAGUUUGGUGAACUAAAUAUCUACUAAGAAUUUCAAAGAGCAAAUUGCACCAAAACUACAAAAUCACUGGCUUUUAAUGAAUAAUCCAGCCUAUUGGGAGUAAUCUCAAAUGUUUCUAGCUGACUAAUAGUAAUUCACUCCCAUAAAUAUGAUUUGUUUGGGACCGCAAUAUAAAUAGCCAUUAGUAUGAAUUUUAUAGCAAGGUCUUCAAACACAGAUGGCAAUUUUGUCGUGUUUACUUGAAGAAACUGUCAUGUUCCUGCAAAACGUUGGCAAAUCCCAUCCUUCACAGAAACCAUUCACUGAAUCGCAUUACCUUUUAUUUAUGGUGUGUAUGAACAAUGAACAUUUGCCAAGAUUUUCCUAAUCCUAAGGCUACGGGCUACCACACAACCAGGGCCGGUCCUGAGAAUUCGGGGGCCCAGGGCGAAGACAACACAAAAGGGACCUGGGUCCCUAAAGCCACAUAAUCAUAUGCAUAAUUUUUACUAUUUCAUUUGCGAAUAAACUGGGUACACUAAAAUUUAUGUUGUCUUGUCAGCUAACAAAUUUAAAGAAAAUAGGGUCAUAAACAUUCACCGUAAAAGUUGGUCCCUCUUGUCAAUCUGACACUUAUAUUAUUUUUGUUAGGUGAAUUAGUAACACUUCCAUGCUUACUCAAAAUUUUAACAGCAUAUAAUCCUUCACUCAGUAACUAAAACUAAUUCUACCAGCAAAGAAACUAAUUCCACAAAAUUUCUAAGCUGUAAAAGUACUACUUGUAUGUGUUCUGAAUAAAUGUCAAUAGCUCCUCCAACAGGCUCGAUCAACUCAUAUGCAUGUUUUUUUCUUCUCAUUGUCGGAUGAAUACUCUUGCCAAAUUAAUAGUAAUCUUGAUAAUUAGCACACAAAUAUAUGACACAAGACGAGGAAAAUUACGAACACAACUAGUUAAAUGAAAAAAGUUUAAGGAAGUCACGAGCAAAAGAUUUGGUUUUCCUUUC